Molecule: ribosomal RNA, 381 nt
Filed under: uncultured bacterium
Lineage: Bacteria
Description: partial 16S ribosomal RNA
Rfam family: Bacterial small subunit ribosomal RNA
Source: RNAcentral
CCUACGGGAGGCAGCAGUAGGGAAUUUUUCACAAUGGGCGAAAGCCUGAUGGAGCAACGCCGCGUGCAGGAUGACGGCCUUCUGGUUGUAAACUGCUUUUAUAAGCGAGAAAUAUGAUGGUAACUUAUGAAUACUGAUCGGCUAACUACGUGCCAGCAGCCGCGGUCAUACGUAGGAUCCGAGCAUUAUCCGGAGUGACUGGGUGUAAAGAGUUGCGUAGGUGGCUUAAUAAGUAGCUAGGGAAAUCUGGUGGCUCAACCAUUCAGACUAUUAGCUAAACUGUUAAGCUCGAGACCGUUAGGGGUAACUGGAAUGUCUAGUGUAGGAGUGAAAUCCGUAGAUAUCAGAAGGAACACCGAUAGCGUAGGCAGGUUACUAGGA